AGGGCAGUGGCUCAACUGGUAGAGCAUCGGUCUCCAAAACCGACGGUUGGGGGUUCGAGUCCCUCCUGCCCUG
RNAcentral lists this transfer RNA (73 nucleotides) under Acidimicrobiaceae bacterium. RNAcentral's name for it is "tRNA-Trp". It matches the Rfam family "tRNA". From Rfam's summary of the family: Transfer RNA (tRNA) molecules are approximately 80 nucleotides in length. The record is from RNAcentral. Lineage: Bacteria; Bacillati; Actinomycetota; Acidimicrobiia; Acidimicrobiales; Acidimicrobiaceae. RNAcentral also lists the same sequence under 1 other name.